AUCGGUGCGGAUCCCUAUGGGGAAGGCGCGUUUUGUUGACAUCUGCCAGGCUUUGGUUGUGAACUCUGAGGCGGCGGCUGUGGAGCUAGUGAUAGCCAUGCUUUCGUAGGGUAAACGUGUUGGUGUUGGGGGCAGGGGAGGGGAUCCACGGAAGAGGAGUGCAAGUGUUUUAUUCAAGCUCAUUUCACUUUUGUUGCUCAUAGAAUGUCAACUUGUGAACUAUUAACAGGCUGUAACGCUUUGCUUUCAGUCUAAGAAUAUGUACUCUUGAUAGAAACCGUAAAUGAAAAAUACAGCUUGUUACCUUGUUUUAAGAUUUUAUUUCCAGAUAAAUUUUUUUUUCAGCCACCUACAUUUUUCAAAAUGUCAGAACAGAAAGGGCACAACUAGAGUUUACUGCUAAUGACCAGUAUGUGGAAUCUGAUUUAGCUUUCCAGAAUUGACUUUUUUGGGUUGUAUUGGCAAAUCAUAGUCCUAAAUGAUGACUGUUGAAUGAUAUUUAAGUGGAAUUUCCUGAAAAUAACCCCCAAAUUAAGGGAAAGUCAAUGUUGUCAUGUGGAUUCAUUCAAAGUACACAUUUUAAGAACUGAAGGCAUUUCCAGCAGAUGAAGUCCUUGAUAACAGCAGCAUUAGUAUGAACCUUGGAUUUGGAAGAUCUGACUUUUAGCUGCUCUAGAUUCCAUGACUGUGGGAAAAUGGGCCUCAGUUCUUUUUUCUAUAACAUGAGGACACUGGACUGUUUGAAUUCAGAAAGUUAAAAGGACUCCUGACGCCCUGCAAGACAGAGUUUGGGAAUGUCCUCCACUGCUGUUAUUUUUCCUCCAAAAAUAACCUCGCUGGAAAGUCAUUGGGUGAAAGGGAAUUUGACGCCCAUAGGAACUGGAGGAAAGGUAAUACAAGUGGAGAGGGACCGCUGUAUUUCUGCCGGAGUGGUAAACCCCCCGGAAGAUUCUGGUACGGAGUUUGGAGACCAAGAGAAUGAGUGUAUGUACUUUGAGUGUACCAGUUUCCUCGCUUCCUCCUGGCCGAAGAUGCAGGACUUUCAGUGAUGCUGGGAUUCUGGGAUGUGUUUCCAUUAAUUCAAAUGCAGAAGACGACGAUGUGGUAGAGGGAAAGAUGGUGGCAGAAGGAGUGAACAAAGAGACAAAAUUACCUGCUAAAAAGAAAAGAAAGAAGGGUUUGCGAAUUAAGGGGAAAAGGCGCCGAAAGAAACUGAUCCUUGCCAAGAAGUUUAGUAAGGAUUUGGGGUCUGGAAGACCUGUUGCAGAUGCCCCUGCUUUGUUAGCGUCCAGUGCCCCUGAGCAAGAUGAAGAAAGUCUUUUUGAGAGCAAUAUAGACAAGCAAAUCUAUCUCCCCAGUACCAGAGCCAAGACCUCCAUUGUAUGGCACUUCUUUCAUGUUGACCCCCAGUAUACCUGGAGAGCUAUUUGUAACCUGUGUGAAAAGAGUGUCAGCCGGGGCAAGCCAGGCAGCCAUCUGGGUACAUCUACUCUUCAACGACAUCUCCAGGCAAGGCAUUCUCCUCACUGGACCAGGGCCAACAAGUUUGGAGUCACUAAUGGGGAGGAGGACUUUACCUUGGAUUUGUCUUUAUCUCCUUCUUCUCCUGAGAGCAAUGGAAGCUUUGAGUAUAUUCCUACAGAUUCAUUAGAUGAAAACAGAAUGGGUAAGAAACGUGAUAAAUCAGCGUCUGAUGCCCUGAGGGCAAAAAGAGGGCGAUUUCUCAUCAAAAGCAACAUUGUCAAGCAUGCCUUAAUUCCUGGAACCAGAGCCAAGACAUCUGCAGUUUGGAAUUUUUUUUAUACUGAUCCUCAGCACGUCUCAAGAGCUGUGUGUAACAUAUGUAAAAGAAGCGUGAGCCGGGGUAGGCCAGGUUCCCACCUGGGAACGUCCACACUUCAACGGCACCUUCAGGCCACACAUCCCAUCCACUGGGCUGUUGCCAACAAAGACAAUGGUGCUAUUGGAAAUGGAUUGGAUGAGACUGAGACCGAGAGCAGUGAUCUCUUGAAUGAUACUUUGCAUGGAGAGAAGUCAUCAGGCAGCCAGGAUUUAACAGCUGAGGACCUUAGUGACUCGGAUGCUGAUGAACCUCCUGUUUUAGAGGUUGAACCUAGAUCUGAGAGUCCUGUUCCUGUUGCAGAGCAAGCCAACCCGGUGCAUGCACAAGAGAGAGAAACACCACCACAUUGUGAGAAUUCAGCCUCCAGUCGGAUAAGUCAGGCGCUUAUUCAGAUGAUUGUGGAAGAUAUGCACCCUUACAACUAUUUCUCAACCCCAGCUUUUCAGCGGUUUCUACAAAUUGUUGCUCCUGACUAUAAAUUGCCAUCAGAGACUUAUUUUUUCACCAAAGCUGUACCUCAGUUAUAUGAUUCUGUUAGAGAAAAGAUUUUCCUAACUUUAGAGAAUGUUCAAAGCCAAAAGAUCCACCUGACUGUUGACAUAUGGACCCAUGACCCUUCCACAGACUAUUUCAUUGUGACUGUACACUGGGUCUCUUUGGAAACUGCAUCUCCCCCCAGUAGUGGUGGGAGCCCCAAUUUUAGAAAGUGGGCAGUACUUUGUGUUACAGGCCUAGCCAAAGACUGUUUGAUAACUAACAUUUUACAAGAAUUAAAUGACCAGAUUGGUCUGUGGCUUUCUCCUAAUUUUCUUAUCCCUAGCUUCAUUGUUUCUGACAACUCCUCGAAUGUGGUACAUGCCAUCAAAGGAGGUGGUUUUACCCAUGUGCCAUGCUUCCUGCACUGUUUAAAUAUAGUGAUUCAGGACUUCUUCUGUGAGCACAAAAGCAUUGAAAAUAUGUUAGUGGCUGCUAGAAAAACCUGCCAUCAUUUUAGCCAUUCAGUCAAAGCCCGCCAGAUACUACAAGAGUUCCAGAACGAUCACCAGCUUCCGUGGAAGAAUCUGAAGCAGGAUGAAAGUGGCCACUGGAUCUCUACCUUUUACAUGUUAAAAUGGCUUCUAGAGCAUUGCUACUCUGUUCACCACAGUCUGGGUCGAGCCAGUGGAGUUGUGCUCACUUCACUCCAGUGGACUCUAAUGACAUAUGUGUGUGAUAUUCUUAAGCCAUUUGAGGAAGCCACCCAGAAAGUGAGUGUAAAGACCACGGGAUUGAAUCAGGUGCUGCCCCUAAUCCAUCAUCUCCUCUUUUCCCUGCAGAGACUCAGAGAAGAUUUUCAAGUCAGAGGUAUUACUCAGGCCCUUAAUCUGGUAGACAGUUUAUCUUUGAAACUUGAAACUGAUGCCCUACUAAGUGCCAUGCUCAAAUCCAAGCAUUGUAUCUUGGCUACUUUGUUAGAUCCUUGUUUUAAGAACAGUUUGGAAGACUUUUUUCCUCAAGGUGCUGAUUUAGAGACUUAUAAACAGAUCCUUGCAGAAGAGGUUUGUAAUUAUAUGGAAUCGUCGCCCGGGGCCUGCCAAAUCGCAACCUCGGAAGCAUCUGGCCCUUUAGUUAGAUUAGGAACUGAUUCAUUUACUUCUAUAAAAGAAGGCACCUCCCAUUCAGGUUCUGUGGAUAGCUCAGCCGCAGCCAGUGUUGCUGUUGGAAGCAAAAGCUUCCUGUUCCCCUCUGCUGUAGCAGUAGUGGAUGAGUACUUCAGAGAGAAGUACUCAGAGCUCUCAGGAGGUGACGACCCUUUGGUUUACUGGCAGAGGAAGGUGAGCGUAUGGCCAGCUUUGACCCAAGUUGCCAUUCAGUACCUGAGUUGCCCCAUGUGUAGUUGGCAAUCGGAGUGCAUGUUUACCACAAAUAGCCACUUUCAUCCAAAGCAGAUCAUGAACAUGGACUUUGAUAAUGUAGAACAGCUGAUAUUUCUGAAAAUGAACUUGGAGAAUGUUAACUAUGACUAUUCUACAUUGAUUCUGAGCUGGGACCCUGAAAAUAAGGCUGUUCAGAACAAUGAAAAAGAAAUAUUACCUUAACUUCUUUUUCCUUUUUCUACUUAAAAUGGGCAGCUUUUGCUAUAUUACUAUAUCUUCUUGCUGUUGUUAUUAUAUGUAGUCAUACUAUUUAUUCUUUAAAAAAAAAUAGCUGGGUGUGGUCACGGGUGCCUGUAGUCCUGGCUAUUUGAGAUGGUGAGGCUGGAUUAUAACUUUAGCACAUGAAUUUGAGACCAGCCGGGGCAACAAUUAAGAUCCUGUCUUACAAAAAUGCAAAACCCGGGGAAAUCCAAAGGUAUAAGAAAGCUGAAAACUCCGCAGAGGCCAUAUGAUGAUGAUGAAGAAGAAAUGAAGGUUAACUUUGAAGAUUUCACAGUAGUCACUCAGUGUAGCUAACAUCGAUCAAAGCGUCAUAUCAGUUGAGAGAGAAAAAGAGUGAAUGAGAAAAGGCAGUGCAGCUUUGAAGGGCUUAGGUAUUUCUGGUUGGUUGAUUGAACUAGUCAUUGAUUUGAGUAAAAAUUUCUUCCAACAUGGAAGGUUUGAUUACUCUGAAAUCAGUGAUUUGUGUAAGUAUUGUGAUUCAGGACUUCUGUAAGCACAAAGGUGUUUAGAAUGUGUUAGUGGUUGCACUAACAUAUUCUUUCCCUUCCCUAUUUUUUAAUUUCUUUAAAACCCCUGACACAACUUGACAGAAUGAAAACCCACAAAAUUGUUUCAUAUUUGGAAAUUCAUAAUUACCUCAUACUAGUCUGUUUGUAAUGUCAGAUGACUGGGUAUGAUAAAAUUGCCCUUUAUAGUUAGGAUUAAGUCUGUAUAAAAGAACAUUAAAAAACAACUAGAAAAAAAAGACUGCUAGUCUUUUAUAAUACAGUACAAAAACAAGAUUAUAUAGGUAACCUAUUAGUAAACAUUAAACAUUUGUAAAACCAAAAACAUUGAGUGGGGUUUAGAAUACAAGCCUCAUGAAUAUGGAAAACCCAGUAUGAGUUUCCCAGAGAAUAUUUCUGUAGUUUGUUCAUUUUUUUUUUAAAGGAUACUUUAUGGUCCAUAGCAUGGUAUUCCUAACUAUGACUUUUGGGCCCCUGUAUUAACUGAAAUAAGCAGUUAUAUUUUACUGUUUGGCAUUGUUGUUGAAAUGAGUAAACUGAUCUCAGUGGCCCUUUCAGGUUCCUUUCCACUCUGAGAGUCUGUUUCUAUGACUGAGUGGGAGGCCAGAAAAUAAUGACUUUUAUUAAGUCUAUUAGACGUUUCAGACUGAAUAACUAAUGUAAGAUCCCAAUUUUUCCUUUUUUUCAUUUUAGAUUUGGGGAUAUUCCCUGCCCAAAAAAUUCCUGGAAAAUUGACUAGUAUUAAGUGUGAAGAAAUCUUGAAGACCAGAAAUUGGAUCUUAUUGAAUUUUGGUGGUGUUUUUUUGUUUUUGCUUUUUGUUUUUUCGUUUUUCAAUUUUUUUCAUCUUUUUACUUUUUAAUUAUAUUGCUCAGCUAUGGAAGAUGGAUUCUUUUUUUUUUUCAUUUUUUUUUUAAUUCUUUGAAUCUCGAGUUCAUCUUUAAGUGAACUUUUUUGUUUGUUUUUGAGGAGAUAACUAAUGUUAGCUGUCUCCAGUCUGACAGAGGUUAUGCAAAUGGACUUAAUCUUCCAAGAGUUGGGAGAUGUUUUAAAGACGUUUUAAAAACACGUCCUGUGUUUCAAUUGUGGCUGAGAGGUUUCC
Peromyscus maniculatus bairdii (prairie deer mouse) is the source of this 5587-nucleotide non-coding RNA. NCBI's taxonomy places the organism in Eukaryota, Metazoa, Chordata, Mammalia, Rodentia, Cricetidae. The record is from RefSeq and is a predicted model, not a curated record.